This 326-nucleotide long non-coding RNA is filed under the name Paramuricea clavata. The record is from RNAcentral. Lineage: Eukaryota; Metazoa; Cnidaria; Anthozoa; Malacalcyonacea; Plexauridae.
GGCAUGUGUUCAGGCGUAAUAGAAUCGCACAAGAACAUAGACACCGAAAUUAAGCGUUUGAUGGGUGAUAGAAACGCCGCAAGAAAUCGACGACUACCUUAGGAAGAGUUUCGAACCCAUCUUCUCCUAGACGCCUUAUAGCAAAAAAUCGGUAGAACAAAUGCAGCGAACUGCGGGCAAAUGUACCGCUUCAUGCAAAUAUACACUCCACGCUGCUUACAGUAAACGGGAGCCGGCCAUUCAUGGUUGAAGGAUAUGACAUUUAAUGCUUGAUAUCGCACAUGUAUUGUAAUGUUUAGUUGAAAAGAUAUUUAUGUUAAAUGAAC